GAGUUUGAUCAUGGCUCAGAACGAACGCUGGCGGCAGGCUUAACACAUGCAAGUCGAGCGCCCCGCGAGGGGAGCGGCAGACGGGUGAGUAACGCGUGGGGAUGUACCCAAAGGUGCGGAAUAACUCAGGGAAACUUGAGCUAAUACCGCAUGUGCCCGAGAGGGGAAAGAUUUAUCGCCUUUGGAUCAACCCGCGUCAGAUUAGCUAGUUGGUAGGGUAAUGGCCUACCAAGGCGACGAUCUGUAGCUGGUCUGAGAGGACGACCAGCCACACUGGGACUGAGACACGGCCCAGACUCCUACGGGAGGCAGCAGUGGGGAAUUUUGGACAAUGGACGCAAGUCUGAUCCAGCCAUGCCGCGUGCGGGAAGAAGGCCUUCGGGUUGUAAACCGCUUUUGUCAGGGAAGAAAAGUCUUGGGUUAAUACCUCGGGAUGAUGACGGUACCUGAAGAAUAAGCACCGGCUAACUACGUGCCAGCAGCCGCGGUAAUACG
RNAcentral lists this ribosomal RNA (495 nucleotides) under uncultured eubacterium WR139. RNAcentral describes it as "bacterial SSU rRNA". It matches the Rfam family "Bacterial small subunit ribosomal RNA", at positions 9 to 527 of the family's 1533-position model. The record is from RNAcentral.